RNAcentral lists this ribosomal RNA (253 nucleotides) under uncultured bacterium. RNAcentral's name for it is "partial 16S ribosomal RNA". It matches the Rfam family "Bacterial small subunit ribosomal RNA", at positions 524 to 776 of the family's 1533-position model. The record is from RNAcentral.
UACGUAGGUGGCAAGCGUUAUCCGGAAUUAUUGGGCGUAAAGCGCACGUAGGCGGCAUUGCAAGUCCCAUGUGAAAGCCCACGGCUUAACCGUGGAAGUGCAUGGGAAACUGCAGUGCUUGAGUACUUAAGAGGAUCGCGGAAUUCCCGGUGUAGAGGUGAAAUUCGUAGAUAUCGGGAGGAACACCUGUGGCGAAGGCGGCUACCUGGACCAGCACUGACACUGAGGCACGAAAGCGUGGGGAGCAAACAGG